Molecule: regulatory RNA element, 114 nt
Organism: Rheinheimera sp. SA_1
Lineage: Bacteria; Pseudomonadati; Pseudomonadota; Gammaproteobacteria; Chromatiales; Chromatiaceae
Rfam family: Ribosomal S15 leader
About the family: The E. coli Ribosomal S15 gene 5' UTR can form two alternative structures.
Source: Rfam
GUUGUCAGCUGGAUUAGUGCCUGGCGACAGCUUGUUUAAAUAAUCCUGGAGGAUUCUAUGUCACUAACUACCGCUGAAAAAGCAAAAAUUCUGGCCGAUUUCGGCGUUGUUGCU